CCCCUUGAACACGCCGUCAAACUCUCGUUUCCCCUCACGAAAAUCGGCCCCGUAACGAAGUUUCGUUCGAGUGGAGCCACGCGAGUGAAAGUCGAAGGAAAGGAAAGGAAGCGAAACUUAGCGAGCUAUCCUUCUUAAGAUUCUACCGUGCAGUUUACCAUCUCUGUUCCACCCGGUUUAAUUCCCCUCUGCCACCGAAUAUAUUUGCGCCUUCGAAUCGCGGCACCGUGAACGAUGAGAUAUUUCAUCGGUCUGCGGUGAACCACUUUCAACGUGCAGAGGAAUAUUAUCGUCGUUGUGCAGCAAGCGGCGCGGUGUUAAAUUUUCCCAUACGAUAUUUAACUAAUUACGAGUGGUCCACGAGUCGGCAAAGGCUAGAACCACUCACCUUUUCGGAUCAGGCACGGUGCAGAAUGAUCUCGGUCUGCGCCUGAAGUAGGAACUCUCGAACCAGUCGGCCUCGUCCUCCAAGUCGUAACGAGAGAAACCCCUCGAGUAGGUCGGGUAAGGUUGACGAUACAUGAUCUGGAGGGAUCGGCGGGGGUAGGGGGCGUCGCAGAGGUUCUCAUCGCUGGGCACGCUCCUCACGCAGGCGGAGAGGAUCGAGGUUCUGGCAGAGGCGCACGGCGACGGGCCCCUGGUCGACAGGCAGCCGAAGAAUCCACCCCCAGACUUCUCGACCGCGUCCAAUUGCCGGCUGGUUAUGCAAUACUGCUCCUUGAUGUCCUCGCGAGAGUAAAGAGGAGUCGCUCUACGAUCCCAGUCGAUGCUGAUGCUGCCCGCUGGUGCCACGAAACCGGCUUGCAGAUCCACCUGAGUCGAGACGUCCACCUGUUAUCCGUAUCAGGAGCAGAAAAGGAAUAUUUAAAAUUAAAAUGGUUGCAGAGAACGAGGUUCUUAUGAUUGCCACUGUAAAAAUGCCGUGUAUUUAACCGUUUGCUGGAACAAAAAAAAAAAAGUUCCCAGGUUGGAAAGAAGAAUAGGUUACCGAUUUUAAGAAUCAGAAAUGGCAAAAAUCGCUUUUGACGUUUCCAUUUGGUGGAAACAGACUUUGCGAACUUGUUCCCUCUUUCAAGCCUUUCCUCCUCCUUUUUUUCCCCCUCCUACCUUUUUUUACCAUAGAAACCAGACGCCAUGCUUCUACUCCAAUAAUUCUCUUUGUUGUUGUACCGCAAAAAAGGUGAACAAAAAUGUUCCGUAACGAAGAUCGAUAAUGCAAUGUUCUUAUAUUCGCACCAAAGAAAUUCCUCUAUCGAUAAAACGUGUCGUGUUUGGUGAAAAUAUGUGGCCCGCGUAAUUUGAAAAUCGCGAAACGCGCCAACUUUUUCUUUCAUGGAAAAAGAUUAAAAUUAAGGAGAAAUUAAGGAAGGGUGGAUAGUUUUCGUUUCUUAUCUCUCCAACAAUACACUUUAUUUACUCGGAAAUUGAAAAAAUGCGAACAACGAUUAAAUAAUUAGACAAAUUCAUUUCGACAAUUAAAAAUAUCGUUAAUCAAACGUUGUUUAAGUAUCCAAAUUUUUUAAAAAUAAUUUCAGAAAUUUUAAAAAUACCACACACGAUAAUAAUUCGUAGAUAUAAUAAUUUUACGAUAAAUUGUGAUAAAUGUGUAUAAUAGUGCGAGUAGUGUUAAACAAUUCGAUACAACUCGAGCGACGUUAAUAACUCUCUUUUGAUACUCGCGAUACUCUAACGACACUUAACACGCUUCUCGACAACACACCUUUUAUUUCGUCGGUGCAAAAGAACAAUGACACAAUUGCCAGAGAGUCACUCUUUAGGUUAUGAAAAAACCAAUUAAUCUGCUUCUUUUCUCUUUUUUCUUUCUUUUUUUUUUUUUUAGAAUGUUUGGUGAUAUUACAUACAAAAAAAAAUUGUUUAAAUUAUCGAUGAAAAAUUGUUAUCGUAAUGUUGCGACUAUUACAAAUUUAUUCUUUGUUUAUCUUUUAAUAAUUUUACAUAAUGUAACGAAGAGUAACGAGAUGUUAUUCUCGAUGAAUAAUUUCGAUAUAUAUACUGUUUUCAGUUUUAAAAUUCCACGUUGGAAUUCUAAUAAUUUUUAAGAGUUUCCUCUCCCCGUUUUCCAUUCCCUUUCUCCACCACUUUUUCUUUUCUCUCUAAUUAUCUCCAUACGUCGAUUGGGAUAGUAAUUUGCCUCCGAAAAAAGAUUCAAUAAAAACCGUUACUGCAGAUAAAAUGAUGUAUAUAUAACGUAUCGAAGAUUUAUACGUGGGACUCAUAAUUGAAAUUUAUUCGUGCAAUGUUAUUCGAUGUUAAUUUUUUAAUCCGUGUACGCAGAUACAUAGAAAAAACGAUAAUAACAAAAACGUUAUUAAAUUCGAUCAAUUUUAUUCAGCUUUUUAAUCCGUUCAAUUCCUAUGGAAAAAGUCAAAUAACCUCAAAGAGUCGACCGAAAGUAAAAAAUAUAAUAACCGAUUUAAAAAUUAUUUUAUUAUAAAUCGAAUAACAAUUUUUAUUCGAUAUUCCAACGUUACAAACAUUACUCCCUUUUUCCAUUUGUUUUAUCCCUUUUCGUUUCAUAUUUACGUAUAUUCUUGGCACAUUUUAAUCGUAAUCUCGCUUAAAAUUCGUCGAGUUCCACAACACUUGACACGAUGAUAAAAAUUUCUUUUCGAAAUUUUCGCGCAUUUCUUCGAUCCCUCGGAAGAAGAGAAACGCGCGUGUAACUUUAGAUUCGCAUUUAUUUUAUUCGCGGCGCAGGUCGUCACAAGUGGGAAACACCGUUUAUAUGAAUGGACAUUUUAAAAGUUACGAGUGUCCUCGCUUAUGGUCCUCAAGAAUACUUUUGCUCGUGACGAUGGUGUUAACCGUAAAUCUUUUGCAUCCCAUCUUUUCGAAACUGCGCAACAAUCUUCGAAUUUUACGAAUAUUCCUCCUCUCGGCCGAGGAAGCUUCCUUCGUUACUGUAUUUUUAUACGGAUUCCAAUUCCAUCACCAAAUCGACAACCAGUGAUUCCAGUCAACAAACACUCGCACGUGCGAUACGGAAAACGAAUAAGAAACGAUUCUUAUCUCUCCCCUUCUUCCCCGUAUAACUCUUCGUUUAACCUCAUCGUGACGAAGAGAGUGUUAGAAAUUGACGAAUGGUCCCAAAAAAGAGAAAUUCCAAGAAAUGCGAACGGAAAGAGAUACAAAGGAUUUCGGGAUAUUCGAAGCCACCGAUGGCGAAAAUUUCUAUCCCUCGCCGCCAUUUUAUUGGAAUCCGUCCGGUGAAGAUAUCAGCCGAGCGAAUAACGCUUUAUCCACACGGGGCCUCUCGCGGCUGGGAAAUUUUUUAAUCCGCGAAAGACGUUCGAAAAUUCCUCCGCCAGCGUAAUUCCAUUUAUUGGAAUUCGAGCGUGAAAAGAUCAACAAAAAGGGGGGGUACUCCUCGACGAGGAAAAUGGAACGGAUCCUCCCUCUCCCUUCCUCUCGCCCGCUCACCCUUUCUCGAUAAAACUGACCCACAUUCGAUCGGCGGGAAACGAGUCUUCGAGUGCAUCGUUGAGGCGUACCCGAGCACUUAUACGAAAGACGAGAGGAUGACACGACGGGGCUGAGUUGCGAGCUUCGAUUCGACUCGAGGUCGUGCACUCUUUCGGCGUGGAUGCGGUGGUGGAGGGGGAGAGCGAACCGAGAGGGGAGAGAAUGAAGAGAGAGAGAGAGAGGAGGGGAGGUGAAGAGAAGAAGAAGAAGAAGAAACGAGAACUCCUCGAACGGUAAUCACGAUUAAUUAAAGGCUUUAAAGCUAACUCGAGUUCUUACGCUUUCUUCAGGCCCUUUAUGACACUUUGAAUGGGGGGCCGGCUUAAGCCAGGCUGACAGAUUCCUCGUGAAUUACCGGUAUCGUUGUUUAUCGAAUUUUCCCCAAUAAUUAUCGCGCCUUUAUUAACAAAUGGAACAAUCCGUGUUCCGUCCCGCUUUCGUUAACCUUCAUUUUUCUUUUUUUCGAAAUUUUAUUCGAAAGCUGAAACUAUCUUAUCGAAAGUUGACUUCAAAAGUUGAAUCCAACAUCUUGUUUUAAACACGUUGCGAUUUAAAAUUUUGCUCUGUGUAGAAGUAUUAUUAUUAGAGCAGAUUAAUAAUUGGUAAUAAUCUCUUCGUAAUAUUAAUAUUUUGAGAAAAAAUUAUGAUCCAAUUUAAUGAUUUAAUUUAUUGCAUCGUUGAAUAUUUGUGAAAGAAUUGCAAAAUUAAUUUUUACAAUAAUAAUAAUUUUAAAAGCAUCAUUUUAAAAAACAAUAAUUCUAAAACUCCGUUAAAAACGUAACUUCAAAUUUAUCGUCGAUGUAAAUGCGUAGAGAUGGAAAUGGUCUAAGAAAAAAAUAAAUAAAUAAAUUCAACUAUCGUAUUGAAUUCGAUUUCAUUUUACACGCGCUUCAAUUUUGAUUAAAAUUCCACCACUUUGAAAAUUUCGGAAAUAUAAAAAUUAAUUUUCAAGUACCGAAAACAAGCCACCAGCUUUAUUUCCUCCUUGCAAAUUGUAAUCUUUCGUUACAAAUUUAAACUCCGUGGAAAAGAAUCGCAAUCGUAUAUCGAGCAACAAUUUCAAUAUAAAUAAUUCAACGAAUCGAGUGAAAUUGAGCUGGACAUAUUCGGGGGUGGCAAGUUGAACUUUUAACGUAAUGAAAAAAAAAAAAAAACGUUAAAUUAAACGAAACAGAUCGAUGAUCGAAAGAUUAAAGAUGUGAUACAAUUUUUAACAAGCAACGAAAUUACAACAGAUUUAUCACAGAAAUUAAUGGAACAUUGGAAAAUCGAGAUGCGUGCGCCCUCGAUAUCUGAUAUAAUACAUAUAUAUGUAUAUAUGUAGGUUACACAAAUUGUAGAGUAACCGAAAUAUAUUAAUUGCUCGUGACAUCUUCCAACGUUCGUGUAUAUAGUUUGCCAGAACUCUGUUUAUUGAGAUAGUUUGUUACACAAAAUGUCUGGACGGUGUUAUAAACUUUCUGGACAAGUAUUUCGACUCGCGGAUCUUGCGAGCGCACGUUUAACGUGCAAGUAGUGCAAACGGAAAAUAAGUCGUCCCCAGUGAAAAUAAAAAUUAAAUGCGCAGAGUCGCGGUGUACUUGUCUCGUUGCAGUUAAUGAAACUCGUUGUUUCAAUCGUUAUUAUUUGUACAAAUACGAUAUAUAAAUAUCUCUGUUCAUUAAUUAUCAUAUAUAUAUCUUAUCUAUAAAAUUACAAUUGCAUUUUAUUAUAAUAUGGUAUGUGAUUCAUUUUUUUUUUUUUAAUAAAAAAAUUGUUCGUCCCACAAAUAAAACGUAUCCUGUGAAUUAUCAAGCUCUUAAAUUUUAAAAUUUAAAUAAUUUUGGCAAAGUUUUAUCGCACGAUAUUGUCGAGACGAGGAUGUGAAUCGAGUGUAUCAUUAGCAUAAUUUGAAUUUCUAACUGUUUGUGCAUCUUAAUAACUCUCUGGUUCCCUAAUUAUAAAAGAUCCUCGAUAUUUUUACCGAGGAGGGUGAUAUUUUUAGUGACAGGUUGCUGAAUCUACACGUACACACCGUAUUAACUAUAAACAUAAUAGACAUUUCCAGUGAUAUUCAUUGAACCGAAUUUUAGUCAAACACACGUAUCUCACGUAUCCAGAAAAUCGAUUUUCUCGAGAACAAAGGAUAUUAUACGUACGUAUUUUCUGCUUUAUCUUUUUUUUUUUUUUCUUUCUUUUUUCCCCCUCCGUGAAAAAUAAUUCUUUUCAAGUAGCUUAAUCGUUGCAGAAAUAAUUCGAUCCUUGGAUUCGAUGAAAAAUAGAUAUUUAUUCAUCGAUCUAUUUUAUUCAUUGAUUGAUUAUAGAAAACGUUUGAUAUAAUAAAUUGAACGAUCUCGGACAAAAUAGAACGAAAUAAGAUAAAUUUAUACGUAUUUAGGAAUUAAUUGGAACGUAUUUAGUAUGAUACACGUUUAAAAUUCGCUUUCUGUCUAUAGUGUCUAUUAAAAAUUCACAAAUAAAGCAAAAAAAAAAAAAAAA
Apis cerana (Asiatic honeybee) is the source of this 5961-nucleotide long non-coding RNA. RefSeq lists it as uncharacterized. NCBI's taxonomy places the organism in Eukaryota, Metazoa, Arthropoda, Insecta, Hymenoptera, Apidae. The record is from RefSeq and is a predicted model, not a curated record.